This 161-nucleotide ribosomal RNA is filed under the name Hordeum patagonicum subsp. patagonicum. RNAcentral's name for it is "5.8S ribosomal RNA". It matches the Rfam family "5.8S ribosomal RNA". From Rfam's summary of the family: 5.8S ribosomal RNA (5.8S rRNA) is a component of the large subunit of the eukaryotic ribosome. It is transcribed by RNA polymerase I as part of the 45S precursor that also contains 18S and 28S rRNA. The record is from RNAcentral. Lineage: Eukaryota; Viridiplantae; Streptophyta; Magnoliopsida; Poales; Poaceae.
AUGACUCUCGGCAACGGAUAUCUCGGCUCUCGCAUCGAUGAAGAACGUAGCGAAAUGCGAUACCUGGUGUGAAUUGCAGAAUCCCGCGAACCAUCGAGUCUUUGAACGCAAGUUGCGCCCGAGGCCACUCGGCCGAGGGCACGCCUGCCUGGGCGUCACGU